RNAcentral lists this ribosomal RNA (450 nucleotides) under uncultured bacterium. RNAcentral's name for it is "partial 16S ribosomal RNA". It matches the Rfam family "Bacterial small subunit ribosomal RNA", at positions 354 to 796 of the family's 1533-position model. The record is from RNAcentral.
GUGGGGAAUUUUGGACAAUGGGGGCAACCCUGAUCCAGCAAUGCCGCGUGCAGGAAGGAGGCCUUCGGGUUGUAAACUGCUUUUGUACGGAACGAAACGGUCUGGGUUAAUACCCUGGGCUAAUGACGGUACCGUAAGAAUAAGCACCGGCUAACUACGUGCCAGCAGCCGCGGUAAUACGUAGGGUGCGAGCGUUAAUCGGAAUUACUGGGCGUAAAGCGUGCGCAGGCGGUUUUGUAAGACAGGCGUGAAAUCCCCGGGCUCAACCUGGGAAUGGCGCUUGUGACUGCAAAGCUGGAGUGCGGCAGAGGGGGAUGGAAUUCCGCGUGUAGCAGUGAAAUGCGUAGAUAUGCGGAGGAACACCGAUGGCGAAGGCAAUCCCCUGGGCCUGCACUGACGCUCAUGCACGAAAGCGUGGGGAGCAAACAGGAUUAGAUACCCUGGUAGUCC